CCUGCUUAUGGGACAAAUUCUGUAAGCAGUGAAGAUGACUUCUGAGCCCUGGCCCCGACUGCUGGGCUACAGCCACAGAGAGCACAGGUGAGGCAUGCAUACAGUCAGCAGCCCAGCCUGAACGUGGUGGUGGCUGGGCUGCCCCGAGAGCCUCCUUCCCUUGGCCUGAAAGUGCCACUGUCUGCGCUUCUCACAUCCCUUUUUAUCUGCUGUGUUUCAAAGCUAGUUUUAUGUUAGGCUUGGAGGGAAGGCAUGAGCAGGUAGUCAUGGCUCAGAAAAACCAAGAGAGGCAAAGCACCACAGGAGAGCCCAAGACUUGCACUGUUGGUUUGGAGCCUCCUCAUAGGAGCAAAAUCACAGGUGUACAUUAUGUGAGAGGAUGGGGAGCAGGGGGAAAUCCUACUACAGAAGGGAUUAAAGGAAGCUGGGGAGAGCAGCUUACCUAGUUUGCUUGCUGAGUGGUUGCUCCUGCUGUGUGCUGUUUGUGCUGCCCAGCAGCAUCUUCCUCGCUUGUGUGUCUUCUCCAAACUCCAUUUUACAGCACUGGAUGUAUUGUUCUACAAGUGUCACCUUCCUGACAGUGGAGCAACUGCAAAUAUAAAGGGCAGCCUUUAGAGCACUAGAUGAUAUUACAAGAGCCUUGAUUAGCACCCUGAAGACUACAGCUAACAGGCUGAAGAAGUAGGAUGUACAUCCAACUGUUCCCAUGGUGGCUCUGUCUGCUGCACUACAAAAAGCCCACUCUCCCUUCAUUGGAUCAGAAAGACCUUGUUGGAGACCCGCUUGGUCCGGUAAGGCUUGAAUAACGCCCAAGGAAAUCAGCAGCAAUCUUGAGGAGACAAGAACUCCAGGAGACUAAAUAAGGAAAACCAGAGUACUGCUGUGGUUACAGGCAUCUCUCCCACCAGCAGCACCGGUUUCUGCAGCUCCUGUUGCUGCUGUGCCUCCUUCUCCCAUUGCAAGCUUGUCUCUUCCCCUUCGUGGUGCUGGUACAAUUCUUCACAAGGUCAAGGGUCAAGUGGAUCUGGGAACUAUCCCAAGUUUAGAAACAAUCUUCCCCCCCCCCCCCCCCCCCCCUUACUAUUGCCCGUAAGUUCACGAAACUCUGGCCAAGAACAGUCUCUCGCUUUUGUUAAGAAGUCUGUGAAAAGCUAAGAGUUGGGAUGGGGUUAGGAGUGAGAAAUUAAGAUGUUUCCCAGAAAUCCAGGCAAGGAUUUUGUGAAGUGAGGAUCACGAAGUUAGAAAUAGAAAUGGUAGGGACAAUUAGGAGAGAGGCUCUAAUACACUAGAAACCUCACAGUUGUUCUUGAUUGUAUUACAUUUUAUUGCACUGUUGUUGUACAUUAAAUCAUCUAAUCCAUCCUCUGCCCUGUGCAAGAAGAAAUGGGUAAAUGAAUGGGAUAUUGGCAAUUAAUAACAUUUUUCUGUUUAUAGUACCACCAACCUCCGUAAGAGAUCGCUAGGUGUAUUUUACACAGCUAAGAAUAAUAACAUUAUGACUAUGGGGAUAGUUGCUUUGUAACUCAACUCCAAGGAACAAAAGAGGCAGCAUCCAGAAGAUUAAGCUUCACAGAAACCCACCACAUGUCUUAGGGCUUGGAUCUCCAUGGUGCUGAUCAUCUCCUGGAAAAUGCUGAAAAUCCUCACUCACUGAAUGGCAGCUGAGAUGUCUCAUCACAUUUGGGGAGGUGUGAAAAGUGGCUUUCAAUAAUGGGCUCUUAAAGUACAAGGGUGGGGAAGCAAUACAGUAGGACCCCCUGCCUUAAAAUACAAAGCCCAGGACUUCUCUCAAGGAAUGUUUGCUUCCCGCCUCCCUUUGUUUCCCCGGAUCUUACCAAUUCCUAUAUUCUUCCAGAUUCCUCAGGUUGGAAGUGUCUUGAUAAAAACUGGAAGGUAGGAACAUUUUCAGACAUGUUUGUUGUCUCUAAACUAUCAUGUGAUCAGGCUGCAGCUGUUGGUUUGUAAUUUCUG
Harpia harpyja (harpy eagle) is the source of this 1971-nucleotide long non-coding RNA. RefSeq lists it as uncharacterized. The transcript has 3 exons. The record is from RefSeq and is a predicted model, not a curated record. NCBI's taxonomy places the organism in Eukaryota, Metazoa, Chordata, Aves, Accipitriformes, Accipitridae.